Molecule: transfer RNA, 77 nt
Filed under: Chloroflexota bacterium
Lineage: Bacteria; Bacillati; Chloroflexota
Also listed under: 2 other names
Description: tRNA-Arg
Rfam family: tRNA
About the family: Transfer RNA (tRNA) molecules are approximately 80 nucleotides in length.
Source: RNAcentral
GCGCCCGUAGCUCAGUGAACUAGAGCAUCUGACUUCGGAUCAGAGGGUCGGGGGUUUGAAUCCCUCCGGGCGCGCCA